Molecule: transfer RNA, 72 nt
Filed under: Fulvia fulva CBS 131901
Lineage: Eukaryota; Fungi; Ascomycota; Dothideomycetes; Mycosphaerellales; Mycosphaerellaceae
Description: tRNA-Met (CAT) (tRNA-Met-CAT-1-1)
Rfam family: tRNA
About the family: Transfer RNA (tRNA) molecules are approximately 80 nucleotides in length.
Source: RNAcentral
GGUCCCGUGGCGCAAUGGCUAGCGCGUGUGCCACAUAUGCAGGAGAUCUGCGUUCAAUUCGCAGCGGGACCA